This 253-nucleotide ribosomal RNA is filed under the name uncultured bacterium. Its description in RNAcentral is "partial 16S ribosomal RNA". It matches the Rfam family "Bacterial small subunit ribosomal RNA", at positions 524 to 776 of the family's 1533-position model. The record is from RNAcentral.
UACGUAGGGGGCUAGCGUUGUCCGGAUUUAUUGGGCGUAAAGAGCGCGUAGGCGGCCGUGUAAGUCCGACGUGAAAUCUGGAGGCUCAACCUCCAGCGGUCGUUGGAAACUACCCGGCUAGAGUCCGGAAGAGGAGAGUGGAAUUCCUGGUGUAGCGGUGAAAUGCGCAGAUAUCAGGAAGAACACCGAUGGCGAAAGCAGCUCUCUGGGACGGUACUGACGCUGAGGCGCGAAAGCGUGGGGAGCGAACAGG